Molecule: ribosomal RNA, 233 nt
Filed under: uncultured Glomus
Lineage: Eukaryota; Fungi; Glomeromycota; Glomeromycetes; Glomerales; Glomeraceae
Description: partial 18S ribosomal RNA
Rfam family: Eukaryotic small subunit ribosomal RNA
Source: RNAcentral
AGCAGCCGCGGUAAUUCCAGCUCCAAUAGCGUAUAUUAAAGUUGCUGCAGUUAAAAAGCUCGUAGUUGAAUUUCGGGACCAUCAUGUCGGUCGUGCCUCGGUGCGUACUGGCAUUGUUGGUUUCUACCUUCUGACGAACCAUGAUGUCAUUUAUUUGGUGUCGUGGGAAAUCAGGACUGUUACUUUAGAAAAAUUAGAGUUGUUUAAAGCAGGCUCACGCUUGAAUACAUUAG